Long non-coding RNA from Crotalus tigris (Tiger rattlesnake), 1329 nucleotides. RefSeq lists it as uncharacterized. The transcript has 3 exons. NCBI's taxonomy places the organism in Eukaryota, Metazoa, Chordata, Lepidosauria, Squamata, Viperidae. The record is from RefSeq and is a predicted model, not a curated record.
CAGCGACUGAGGCUGGGUCUGCCCACUGACUGACUCACUCCCCCCUCGCCUACGGCUCUUCAAUGUUCCAGCACAGCCCUGCUCAGGACCGAUUUCGCAGAAGCCCAUCACGCAAAAGUAGUUUUGCAGUUGCUGGCCCUGGCUGCUCAGCCAACAGUCCUGAGUCCUGUAGCCCAUUUUUUCACCAGAUGUCCAGGAACUCCAACUCCUAGUGUGGUCCUCGUUGACUGUGGUGAUGACCAAGCUGAAUUUGUACUUCGUGACCAGCUGCCAUUCUUCCCGUUGGAUAGAAGAAAAGCCAAAGGUACAGCUACAUGGAGGAAUCCAUUCCUGCCAAGAGAAGUUCUACUAUUCUGCAGUUUCAGAAGAGAUUCCAGGAGUUCCCUACUGUUGAUGGUUCUGGAUCACUGGAUGACGAGCAGCUGCCACAAACUUUAGAGUUGGAGGAAAAGGAUUACCUAGGCUCUGCAAGGAUCUCUGCCUCUUCCUUGAAGAGGGGGAAGUGAGGGGUGGUGGUGAUAGAAGACUUCCUUCUGUGGAACUGAAGCAGCAAUCUAUUAGGAGUUGCCUUAGGUGAAAUCUAAAUUGAAUUUCUCAAUUAAUCAAUUAAAUGUCCUGCUUGGGAGCACUCCAGGGGCAUCUGGUUGGGCGCUGUUUGAAAAACAAAAUAAUGGCUUAAAGUGGAUCUUGGCCUGAUCCACUAAAAUCAUUCUUAUUUUAUAUUUGGUCAAGUUUGCAUUGCAUUUAACAUACCUGUAUCAAUCUAGAGAAUUUGCUAAACCUUUCAGUCUUUCUUGCUGGGUUGGGUGUCUGACCUGGGAUCACCCACAGAGUAGCUUUUAGGAGGUGCUUGUCCAACCAGAUGAAAUUGGCUGGAAAUGAAUACAGUUUAAGAAAUUGUUGUCCAGAUUUCAAUCCAUUCUUCAGCUUUGUCAGCAAUGCUGGACAGCUGUUCUGUCUGGACAGUGGUCACCAUGGGUCCCAACUGAGGAUCUCCUUGCUUUUUAAAUUUGCCCUAUCUACUCUGGGAGAGCAAGUGCCAGACACUUUCUUUCCAGGAGUGGGUCUGUGAGGAGGUAGAAUUACAUUGAUGAUUCCCCCCACCCCGCUCCCCUGAAUCUCCAGACUCCUACUUCCGCAAUACAGUGGACUGGUAGAAAAAAGAACAAACAAUUUUAUGUGUGUGUGUUUGUUAGAGUUGAGUGCUUCCCUUUUCCUAUAGAAGUGAAACUAGUUUUACUAUCCUUCCUGUUAUUUGGUCUAGAAGGGGAAAUUUGCAGGCAGGACCAUAUUUUCACUGCUUCAUAAAUAAACCUGUAAAAAAAAUAA